This 434-nucleotide ribosomal RNA is filed under the name uncultured bacterium. Its description in RNAcentral is "partial 16S ribosomal RNA". It matches the Rfam family "Bacterial small subunit ribosomal RNA", at positions 29 to 507 of the family's 1533-position model. The record is from RNAcentral.
AGCGAACGCUGGCGGCAGGCCUAACACAUGCAAGUCGAACGAACCUUUCGGGGUUAGUGGCGGACGGGUGAGUAACACGUGGGAACGUGCCUUUAGGUUCGGAAUAACUCAGGGAAACUUGUGCUAAUACCGAAUGUGCCCUUCGGGGGAAAGAUUAAUCGCCUUUAGAGCGGCCCGCGUCUGAUUAGCUAGUUGGUUGAGGUAAUGGCUCACCAAGGCGACGAUCAGUAGCUGGUCUGAGAGGAUGAUCAGCCACAUUGGGACUGAGACACGGCCCAAACUCCUACGGGAAGCAGCAGUGGGGAAUCUUGCGCAAGGGGCGAAAGCCUGACGCAGCCAUGCCGCGUGAAUGAUGAAGGUCUUAGGAUUGUAAAAUUCUUUCACCGGGGACGAUAAUGACGGUACCCGGAGAAGAAGCCCCGGCUAACUUCGUG